Clupea harengus (Atlantic herring) is the source of this 6176-nucleotide long non-coding RNA. Lineage: Eukaryota; Metazoa; Chordata; Actinopteri; Clupeiformes; Clupeidae. The record is from Ensembl.
GUGUGUGUGUGUGUGUGUGUGUGUGUGUGUGUGUGUGCCUGUGUUUAUUUUUGUGUGUCCCUUCAUUCAACCCCCAUUGCUCUGCCACAUGUGUUUUGGUUUUUUGAAGCUUUGGUUAAAGAGAUUGACAUCCCCCUCCAGAACCUGGGCCCAACAGUGCUGUGAGGUGUGAAGGAGCUUCAUGCCACUGUUAUGGCUGUGCAGAAAGAGAGAGGUUUCUCUCUCUAACUCGCAUUUUUUGGAUUUGGGCUGAUGUGAAGGCGUACACAGACUCCUCCCUUGGCAGCCCCCAAACAAAAACCAUCAGACGACACACACACACACACACACACACAUACACACAGAACCUAACGUGAGCCAAAGCACUCUGUCAUACACCCACACACACUUUGAGUUGGCCUCUUCUGAGAGAUCCAUCAGCCCACAGUGUCCAAUCAAAACAAAGACCAAAAAGAAAACAUCCUCUUUCUCUCGUCUGCUGACGAUCUCUUGUCUGUCAGCAUGUGGUUGAUUGGAUGACUGAACUGAGGAGGGGGAGCUGUGUGCACUGCAGGAGGGCCCUAGCGCUACCGUAGCAACCCCUGUGCUCGUCCAACCAGACUGGCACUCUACCUGCACCAUCGCCCAUACAAUGGUUCCAUCUAGUGGCCGCUGGAACAAUAACCGCAGGCUUCAAGUCGAAUUAAAACAGCAUUUUAUGGUUGGUAACAGUUAUGUGUAUGUAUGUGUGUGUGUGUGUGUGUGUGUGUGUGUGUGUGUCUCAGUGCACUUCACCGAUCCAUCCAUCAUCUUUGUCGUUUCAUUGCUGAUGUUGUACCCUCAUUCUAGGGGCUGUCAGUGUCUGUCUGUAAAGAGUCUGAGUGUGUGUGUGUGUGUGUGUGUGUGUGUGUGUGUGUGUGUGUGUGUGUGUGUGUGUGCACGCGUGUGUUUGUUGGCUUACCUGCCUCUCAGUGAAGGCCUCAGCUCAGCUGGUUAUGAGACAGCAAAGGAAAGAAGGGCAGUCAGAUAUUCAAAGCCUUGUCUGGUAGCAAAACUUCUAUUUUUGUAACAUGUACAGUACAUAAGCUCAUAAAAAAACGAGAGUGAGAGAGAGACAAAGAGAGAGAGGUGACACAAAAGCACUUAUUUCUGCAAUAAUUACAAUUGAAGUUUCUAUCCUUUCAAGAAGAAAAAAGCUAUUAUUGGACAAAAGUGCUAUUUUUGGAGUCUUUUGCUAAUUGUUUUGUUCUAGCGUGAUCAAGCUUUUGGGAAUCCAACAUCUCCUUGAUUGUGCCAUAUUUGCUGUCGCUUGUGUAGUCUGUGUCCACAACAGAUUGUUUAGACAUUCCAAGAAAAAAAAACGAACGACAAAAAGCAUGCAGAGUGUUCUAGAAAAUCCCAGCCAACUCCAGACAUUUCCUGCAAAUACCUGAAACAGAUUUAGAAACACUCUUCUUAUUCAUGUUUACUGUGAGGGCAGUCAUUCCUCCAUUUCUCCUGCAUGUUUCUGCUUUCUACCCAUAAUGGGGAGGGGGGGGGGGGGAUGUCUGAAUCGGUUGAUGGAGGAGCCACCGUACUGAGAUGCCAGCAUCUGCACAUAUCACCUAAAGAAGCUUCUCUGUAACGUGUCAUGUCCUAUUCUCCUCAGCUGGUUCAUCAGAUGUAACAUACUGUACACCAGUUGUCAUUCACAGGCCCUGCGAUUAAUGUUAAUAUCCCGUAGUCAUCAUUAGUAAUAGUCCUGCAACUUUACCAGACAGAGACUUGCCUUUAACUCCAGACUUUUAAAAAGAAAAUUAUUUCAGACUGUGAAUGACAAUCUAGGAGUAUGCCCCUACACACACACACCACCCCCUACUGACCCCCACUUGCCCUCACCUGCCCUCAUCUUCAAGACAGAGCAGAGAGCUGAAUUUGAUCAUUCAGUUAAAUCACUCAGGGAGAUUUUUGUUACUCUAAGCUCUAAGUAGGAGGUGUUUAUUAAAGGCAGGUGUGCGUCACACCUCACAAACGUCAGAUGGACCGUGCAUGUGUAUCUCUUUCCGGAAUGUUCCCAAAGGCCUCUACACACAGAGAGCCAGACGCAGAACUGAGGGCCAAAUCCAGAGUCAGCUAACAUCUAGGCUUUGCAGCCUUGUUAUAGUAGCCAAAUGCAUAUCCUCAAUCCUAGCAACGACACAGCAAUAUUCAUUUAACAUUAGAAUUCAUGAGGCAUACAGACAUUAACUCAUCUCUACCUAAACACAAAACACAAAGUCAAAUAUACUUGAAUACAGUUUGUUUAUAUACAGAUUUCUUAAAUACAUUAUUUCAUAUUUUGUCUGUACAUUCUACACAGAAUGAAUGCACGAGCCCCUGCAAAUGCCUAAAAUACUGUUUCAGGCUUUUUGAAACCUAUUUCGGGAGCCUCUUUCCAUUGGGAUUGGCUACUAUCACCCUCUCCUCAUAACCUCAGCCCAUCUCCUGUAGCAGCCUGCUGUGCUGUGGAUAUGUAUGUCUGGAAGGCUGGGAUUCUUCUAGAAUAGUCACUCUGUGGUGGUGAUUCCACGUGCCAAAUACCUCUCCGUGUUCUCUCACUAGCUGACUCCAGGCAGAUAGUAUUUUCAGACUUUACUGAUACGGGUGUCCAAGGGGCUGCCUGUGUGGUCCUUGAGACGUUCUGAUGUGCAGCAAUGCCUAACCUUCAGUGUGAUUCCCUGUCCCAGAAACCUCUGUCUCCCCACCAGUCAACCCCCAAAGCUAUAGGGAGAAAUACUAUCACUCCUCGUGUGGUGUCUUGUAUUAAAGUCCUGUCGAUGUUGCAUAGGCAAAAAAACUAAGCAAUAUAGUAGACUGAGGGGCGAAAAGAGACUUAUUUGGCUUCUUUUUUGUUGGUGGUCAGAGGUACUUAGACAUCUUUGGACCUGUGUAGUUUGAGGACGUGCCACUUAGGGAGACGCUUUGUUGCGGAUAUUAGAAUUUGUAUUUUGACUGGGUUCUGUGGUAUUUGUUUGUCGUGUCUUUGAAUCGGUCUGUGGUUUCUGUCCAGUGUAUCAACACAUGUAAAAGCAAUAUUAGUAUGUUUGUAGGUGUUAGUGUGUGUUUUUGAGAGGCAGUCUGUGUGUGAACACAUAUGCACACAUAUGUGUGUGUGUUUGCUUUUCUGUGUCCAUGUAAGUUACUCCAGUCGAAUCCCAGACAAGGCUUUAAUCGAUGCGGAACAGCAGGGUAAGAUGAUCAGCUGUGUGUGUGUAUGCGUGCGGUGUUACUUUCCCAGUUUAAGGUGAUUUCUUUUGUUGUUGUUGUUGUUUUUUUCGGGUAGCAAAGAGCUCAAGCUCUCUCUCUCUCUUGCGAGGCUGCACAAGCAUGCCGUAAUGCACCUCAUCUCUCCUGCCUAUUCAUCGCCUCCUUAUGCAAACCAAUCAGCGACCUUGUCACGACCUUGUCACGACCUGCGCAGGCACUGGCAUUUUGUAACCCUCCCUUCGUGCUAGAAUGCGUGGCGCCCAUCUUGUGUUUGGACUGCCUGCUGAAUUGUGACAUCGUGCUCUUUUAGAUAUAUAGUAAUAAGACAUGAAGUGUAACGUCACACUCGUGACAGUGUCCAUAUUCAGAAGGUGUGGAGGUAUGACCGAGAUCCCAGAUCAGCCAUUCUCCUUGCAGUUUUUAUAUAUAUAAAAAGUUACUGAAAGUCUGUUUUAUCUUCUCCCAAAAGCACAUCUGACACAGUAAUUGAAAGUGAAAUAUGUUUCAGAAUAUAGAAAUAAAAAAGAUCAUUAAAAAAUAAAUAAAAAAUGAAAAAUCUUUUAGCCAUAAUCGAAUGUCAAGCAAUAAUAUAUAUGGUGUAUUAUUAUAAUUAUUAAUUUUGUGCAUAGGCUUUGAACAUCUGCAUGUAAAUACACCUCUUAUUUAUCUUGGGUUAUGUUUUAACUUUGUGUUUCUUUGUUUGUUUAUUUUACCUUCUUUUUUGAUUUUGUUUGUUUGUUUGUUUUUUGUCUGUAUAUUUGACUGGUUCUGUUCCCGGGUGGAGAACUAAGAACUUCAUAUGGCCUGUAUGCUGUAAAGCUUCAUUUCUCACUUUCUCUCUCCCUCACUCUCUGCUUUUUAAUUCACAAUAUUUAAUGUUAUUAUUGAUCACAUGUAUAAAGUUAACUUUGUAACUUCUGUCUGUAUAGGUAAGAAGAAAAUACUGCUAUUAAGGCCUACUCAGUGCAAAUAUUUAUCUGUUUAUUGAGUACACCAUGCUGUAAAGAUAUCUCUGUUUUUAGUAUACUUCUCUCUUUUAGACUUAGUUUGAUAGAGGUAGGGUGUGCACAUUUAAUUUGUGUUAUUCAGAUGUGUGGUGCUAGGUAAGUUACUUUUGUGAACAAAACAAAUCUUGAUUCAUAGACUAGGCCACCCUUUUAGUCCACUCAUUUCUCUGAGUAUUGAUGCAUUAUUGAUAUUAGGACUCAAUAAAUGAUAAUUAUAAUGAUAACAAUGGUAAAGAAACUGAUAGUGGUUUUAAAAUGACUUUAAUACCCAGCGAGUACCUGUAUCAGUGUGCUAGUCUUGGGAUAUGGCUAUUUCCUUCACACUUUAAGAUUUUUAGCAAAGAAAAAAAAACAGUAUUGAUUAAUUCAAAAGGCUAUUAAACUUGCAUUUCUCAUUUUUUAUUUUUUAUUUUUUAUUGAAAACAUGGAAUGGGUUUGCUCAUGCUUGUAAACUACAGUAUUGUGUUUCUCCUAGUUCUGAUUGUGAAAACCACUGGUUGGAUAUGUUGCUGGUUUGUUUUGCAAAUACAAAUACCUACAGCUGCGGGUUUUCGGUAUCUACAGCUGGAAAGGACUUGAGUUCUUUAAACUGAUACUGGAAAUAACUGUACGGGUGAUGCUUGAUAUAAGGCACAUUUUUGCUCCCUUAUUUAAAAUUCAACCAGCUUCUUUUGAUGGCAGUUUCCCGGAGACAACCGUCACAGAUUCCUGUUUUACAAGCAACUUGUGUUCCUGCUCACCCUUACAAGAAUUCAUAACUCAAAUGUACAAGAAAAAAAAACAGCUAAACAAAAUCAUUUGUUUAUUUUGUUCCUCUCUGUAGCAGUCAGAUAAUACUCGCAAUAAUAAACAUUGAACUACACUGAGCGAUCCUUAGUGUUACAGGAUGCAGACAUUAUAUUCAGCUGUUGCUAUUGUUUUGUUUCUUUUGAUUUUCAAACAUGUACUCGAAUGACAAUGUAUUUGCACAUUUAGGUGACUUUUAUCUAUCUUGUGUGUCCAACUUUUUCAUACGCUGUCUUUAUAAGUAAUUGGUGUUUUUCAUGUUUGUUUAAGACCAUAGAAACAAUUAGGUCCAUCUAUUGCAAUGUGCUGUAUAUUUCAGUUGACAACCCAUUUUUUGCAAUGCUCAGUAUAUCCACUCUUAUCCAUUUUCAUUUUCUGUCAGCAACUCAGCUAAGACUGUUGAACCAUUAUAAUGUAAGAGAGCAUAAUGGCCUGUGUGGUCUAACAGACAUUGGGUAAAAAGACAACUGUGGCAGAAUCAGGUUUAGAUUUCUGUAGAAGAAUGGACAGUUAGACAAUCCACUUUUUUGUUCCACCCUCAGUUUUACAAUGUUAAAACUUCAGUUUAUUGUUGCAAACAAAAAAAAUGACUAAAGCAUUGUAUUUUAAGUAUUCACAUGUGUAUGUAAAAAUAUGCAUACUACACAUCUGGAUCUGUUAACUGUUGUUUGUUUCAUGUGAGCUUAAAGGGUUGGGAGACUGGGGGUGAGGCAGGGGUUCGGGUAGGGUGGGGGGUUGGUUCGCUCCACGUUAAAGCAGCAUAAAAAAUGUGGGGGAAAAGCCGAGAACGGUUUGUGGUUUGUCACAAAUUUUUAUGUCACACGUUUGCUACUGAUCUUAAAAUGGGGACAGAUGAUCAUGUACCUUUUUACCCAGCUCUUUUAAACUCUAUUUAGGAGGUAGUGUCUUCACAAGUAGUUUUGCUCCUUCUUGUCUGAUUCCUAAAUAUGGAAAAUAAGUAUUUUGAUUCAUUUUGUAAAUACAGCUGUAAAGAAAAAUAAGAAAUUUAAUGUUGUCUUUUAAAUACUUUUCAUUCUAAUAUGAAUGUUGUUAUAUUGUACUUAGAAAACUGUACCUUUAAUAUUACCUUUAUUAAAAGUGCAUUGGACACAUCGAUUUUAGAUGUGCUUUAUGUGCUGUUAUCCCAUAAUAAAAUUUACCGCUUGUAAUGGGCUCUUA